GAUGAACGCUGGCGGUAUGCUUUACACAUGCAAGUCGUACGAGAGUUUUGAACUCAAGUGGCGGACGGGUGAGUAACACGUAAGAAUUUACCUUUAGGAGGGGGACAACAACUGGAAACGGUUGCUAAUACCCCAUAUGCUUUCGAGUGAAAUGGAUUUCCGCCUAAAGAGAAGCUUGCGGCUGAUUAGCUUGUUGGUAAGGUAAUGGCUUACCAAGGCGACGAUCAGUAUCUGGUUUGAGAGGACGAUCAGACACACUGGAACUGAGACACGGUCCAGACUCCUACGGGAGGCAGCAGUGGGGAAUUUUCCGCAAUGGGCGAAAGCCUGACGGAGCAAUACCGCGUGAGGGAUGACGGCCUAUGGGUUGUAAACCUCUUUUUUCAGGGAGGAACAAAAUGACGUGUACCUGAAGAAUAAGCAUCGGCUAACUCCGUGCCAGCAGCCGCGGUAAAAC
Molecule: ribosomal RNA, 457 nt
Filed under: uncultured bacterium
Lineage: Bacteria
Description: bacterial SSU rRNA
Rfam family: Bacterial small subunit ribosomal RNA
Source: RNAcentral